Priapulus caudatus is the source of this 474-nucleotide long non-coding RNA. RefSeq lists it as uncharacterized. NCBI's taxonomy places the organism in Eukaryota, Metazoa, Priapulida, Priapulimorpha, Priapulimorphida, Priapulidae. The transcript is spliced from 3 exons. The record is from RefSeq and is a predicted model, not a curated record.
UCGGCCUGCACCGAACAAGGAAGUGACCAGUAAACAAACACUUUCUCGAAGCUUCCCGUGCCCUCCCGCCCGCGCGCGCGUAAAAAAACACAGUAGCGCGCAAAAUCACUAUUAUAACGAACCCAUCUCCUUCGAUCCGGUAAAAUUCGGGCGGGAAUUCGAAUUUCAUCUGUCGCGUGCGUGUGCACGAGCGCGCAGCGGGCUACGUUCCAGGUUGCCUCGCCACGAACAGCCUCCUCUCUCUCUCUCUCGCUGUAUUUGGGCAUCGCGCCGACGUCACCAUCUAUAUACGUCUUCGGCGCAGCGACGCGGCUGCGUAUAUGCAGACGCCUCCUCGAUAGCAGUUCUCCUAUAUAGUUACCAGACGACUCGUGACCGUGAACGUAGACGCCGCUCCACGGCACACGCUCUGUCUUCCUCACGCACCGUACACCCUCCGUCCGAUCUCCUCACACACCGACGAUGGCUGCCGAU